GACGAACGCUGGCGGCGUGCUUAACACAUGCAAGUCGUACGGUAAGGCCCUUUCGGGGGUACACGAGUGGCGCACGGGUGCGUAACACGUGCGUAACCUGCCCACAACUUUGGGAUAACGCUAGGAAACUGGUGCUAAUACUGGAUAUGUGCUCCUGCUGCAUGGUGGGGGUUGGAAAGCUCCGGCGGUUGUGGAUGGACUCGCGGCCUAUCAGCUUGUUGGUGGGGUAGUGGCCUACCAAGGCGGCGACGGGUAGCCGGCCUGAGAGGGUGACCGGCCACAUUGGGACUGAGAGACGGCCGAGACACCGACGGGAGGGAGAAGUGGGGAAGAUUGAAGAAUGGGCGCAAGCCGGAUGCAGCAGGGCCUCGGGCGGGAUGACGGCCUUCGGGUUGAAAACCGAUUUCAGCAGGGACGAAGCUUUUUGUGACGGUACCUGAAGAAGAAGCACCGGCUAACUACGUG
Molecule: ribosomal RNA, 465 nt
Filed under: uncultured bacterium
Lineage: Bacteria
Description: partial 16S ribosomal RNA
Rfam family: Bacterial small subunit ribosomal RNA
Source: RNAcentral